This 455-nucleotide ribosomal RNA is filed under the name uncultured bacterium. RNAcentral's name for it is "bacterial SSU rRNA". It matches the Rfam family "Bacterial small subunit ribosomal RNA", at positions 340 to 787 of the family's 1533-position model. The record is from RNAcentral.
UACGGGAGGCAGCAGUGGGGAAUAUUGCACAAUGGGCGCAAGCCUGAUGCGGCCAUGCCGCGUGUAUGAAAAGGCCUUCGGGUUGUAAAGUACUUUCAGUCGUGAGGAAGGUGUUAAGGUUAAUAACCUUAGCAAUUGACGUUAGCGACAGAAGAAGCACCGGCUAACUCCGUGCCAGCAGCCGCGGUAAUACGGAGGGUGCGAGCGUUAAUCGGAAUUACUGGGCGUAAAGGGCACGCAGGCGGUUAAUUAAGUUGGAUGUGAAAUCCCCGGGCUUAACCUGGGAAUGGCAUUCAAGACUGGUUAGCUAGAGUCUUGUAGAGGGGGUAGAAUUCCAUGUGUAGCGGUGAAAUGCGUAGAGAUGUGGAGGAAUACCGGUGGCGAAGGCGGCCCCUGGACAAAGACUGACGCUCAUGUGCGAAAGCGUGGGGAGCGAAACAGGGAUUAGGAUACCC